RNAcentral lists this ribosomal RNA (467 nucleotides) under uncultured bacterium. RNAcentral describes it as "partial 16S ribosomal RNA". It matches the Rfam family "Bacterial small subunit ribosomal RNA", at positions 28 to 507 of the family's 1533-position model. The record is from RNAcentral.
GAUGAACGCUGGCGGCGUGCUUAACACAUGCAAGUCGAACGGAAAGGCCCAAGCUUGCUUGGGUACUCGAGUGGCGAACGGGUGAGUAACACGUGGGUGAUCUGCCCUGCACUUCGGGAUAAGCCUGGGAAACUGGGUCUAAUACCGGAUAGGACCACUUCUUGGAUGUUGUGGUGGAAAGUUUUUUCGGUGUGGGAUGAGCUCGCGGCCUAUCAGCUUGUUGGUGGGGUAAUGGCCUACCAAGGCGUCGACGGGUAGCCGGCCUGAGAGGGUGUACGGCCACAGUGGGACUGAGAUACGGCCCAGACUCCUACGGGAGGCAGCAGUGGGGAAUAUUGCACAAUGGGCGCAAGCCGGAUGCAGCGACGCCGCGUGGGGGAUGACGGCCUUCGGGUUGGAAACUCCUUUCGCUAGGGACGAAGCGUUUUGUGACGGUACCUGGAGAAGAAGCACCGGCUAACUACGUG